RNAcentral lists this ribosomal RNA (497 nucleotides) under uncultured bacterium. RNAcentral's name for it is "partial 16S ribosomal RNA". It matches the Rfam family "Bacterial small subunit ribosomal RNA", at positions 28 to 507 of the family's 1533-position model. The record is from RNAcentral.
GAUGAACGCUGGCGGCGUGCCUAAUACAUGCAAGUCGAGCGAACGGCCGAGAAGCUUGCUUCUCUGAUGUUAGCGGCGGACGGGUGAGUAACACGUGGAUAACCUACCUAUAAGACUGGGAUAACUUCGGGAAACCGUAGCUAAUACCGGAUAAUAUUUUGAACCGCAUGGUUCAAAAGUGAAAGACGGUCUUGCUGUCACUUAUAGAUGGAUCCGCGCUGCAUUAUCUAGUUGGUAAGGUAACGGCUUACCAAGGCAACGAUGCAUAGCCGACCUGAGAGGGUGAUCGGCCACACUGGAACUGAGACACGGUCCAGACUCCUACGGGAGGCAGCAGUAGGGAAUCUUCCGCAAUGGGCGAAAGCCUGACGGAGCAACGCCGCGUGAGUGAUGAAGGUCUUCGGAUCGUAAAACUCUGUUAUUAGGGAAGAACAUAUGUGUAAGUAACUGUGCACAUCUUGACGGUACCUAAUCAGAAAGCCACGGCUAACUACGUG